Molecule: non-coding RNA, 142 nt
Organism: Triticum aestivum (bread wheat)
Lineage: Eukaryota; Viridiplantae; Streptophyta; Magnoliopsida; Poales; Poaceae
Source: Rfam
CCGCUCGACGAUGAUGACAUGGUCUCCUACAUCCUCGCUCGACUAGACUACGACUACAUCUCGUUUGUCUCUUCCAUCUGUGCUGUGAGGACCGAACCAAUCAAGGUAGCAGAACUCUACUCUCAGUUGAUUGGUUUUGAGA